AUUGAACGCUGGCGGCAGGCCUAACACAUGCAAGUCGAACGGCAGCGGGGGAUAGCUUGCUAUCCUGCCGGCGAGUGGCGGACGGGUGAGUAAUGCAUGGGGAGCUGCCCAAUCGAGGGGGAUAACAACUGGAAACGGUUGCUAAUACCGCAUACGCCCUGCGGGGGAAAGGUGGGGACCUUCGGGCCUACCGCGAUUGGAUGCACCCAUGGGGGAUGAGCGGGUUGGUGAGGUAACGGCUCACCAAGGCGACGAGCUCUAGCUGGUCUGGGAGGAUGACCAGCCACACUGGAACUGAGACACGGUCCAGACUCCUACGGGAGGCAGCAGUGGGAAUAUUGCACAGUGGGGGAAACCCUGAUGCAGCCAUGCCGCGUGUGUGAAGAAGGCCUUCGGGUUGUAAAGCACUUUCAGUGGGGAGGAAGGGGAGUAAGCUAAUAACUUGCUUCAUUGACGUUACCCACAGAAGAAGCACCGGCUAACUCCGUGCCAGCAGCCGCCGUAA
This 505-nucleotide ribosomal RNA is filed under the name uncultured bacterium. Its description in RNAcentral is "partial 16S ribosomal RNA". It matches the Rfam family "Bacterial small subunit ribosomal RNA", at positions 29 to 523 of the family's 1533-position model. The record is from RNAcentral.